This is a non-coding RNA of Acanthosepion pharaonis, 98 nucleotides long. The record is from the annotation of a GenBank genome assembly. NCBI's taxonomy places the organism in Eukaryota, Metazoa, Mollusca, Cephalopoda, Sepiida, Sepiidae.
AUUGAAACAUUGGUUCCCAUAUGAUCACCAAAGUUAAGCAAUGGGAGCCUGGUUAGUACCUAGAUGGGUAACCGCUCAGGAAUACCAAGUGCUGUAAU